AUAGCGUAUAUUAAAGUUGUUGCAGUUAAAAAGCUCGUAGUUGAACCUUGGGCCUGGCUGGCAGGUCCGCCUCACCGCGUGUACUUGUCCGGCCGGGCCUUCCUUCUGGAGAACCUCAUGCCCUUCACUGGGGGUGUGGGGGACCAGAACUUUUACUUUGAAAAAAUUAGAGUGUUCAAAGCAGGCUUUUGCUCGAAUACGUUAGCAUGGAAUAAUAAAAUAGGACGUGCGGUUCUAUUUUGUUGGUUUCUAGAGCCGCCGUAAUGAUUAAUAGGGACAGUCGGGGGCAUCAGUAUUCAAUUGUCAGAGGUGAAAUUCUUGGAUUUAUUGAAGACUAACUACUG
This 344-nucleotide ribosomal RNA is filed under the name uncultured eukaryote. Its description in RNAcentral is "SSU rRNA". It matches the Rfam family "Eukaryotic small subunit ribosomal RNA", at positions 594 to 945 of the family's 1831-position model. The record is from RNAcentral.